CGGCCUGUGGUAUGCCCUAGGCUGCCGGGGUUGCUGUGGGCUUUAACAGUCCCAGCUUCUGGGAGCAUGCAAUGUGAUGAUCAAAUCAGGCCUCCUCUCUGUACAACGCUGUAAGAACCACACCUGCGCCAUGGCUGCCCAGAGACUGUCUCCGAGGUUGUGUCACAUAAACGAAUCAUCCAGGCUAAGUCUGAAGGAUGAGCACUUUUUCAGGCAGUGUCUCACUUCACAGGAAUAGCUGACGGGGUUCUGACGGGGUUCCUCCUCUGGCAAGUGCUUGUGAUACUGUGGCUGACGCUCACAUCAAAACCUCUACCCUGGCAGCUGGGUCAGCACACCUCACUCCAUCAGCCACAGUCACUUGAGGACCAAACCCUGGGCUGAGAAGUAUGUAAGACGGCACUGCUGCUUUUAUGGACUCUGUGGGUAGGUUGGGAUGGCCCUUUUCUCCAGUGAACCUUUUCAAUGAUCUCUCGCAGUUUA
Molecule: long non-coding RNA, 483 nt
Organism: Mastomys coucha (southern multimammate mouse)
Lineage: Eukaryota; Metazoa; Chordata; Mammalia; Rodentia; Muridae
Exons: 2
Source: RefSeq, a predicted model, not a curated record